AUGGGCGGAUACGAGUUCCAGAGGGCGGAGCUAGAUGCACUGGAAGGCGUCCUACGCGAUGCAAGCGCGGAGCCAAUGAGUCUGACGUUGCCGCUUCUCAGGCACAUAACCAAUGAUUUCUCCCCUGAAUCUCAAAUUGGUCAAGAUAAUUCUGCACUGGUUUACCUGGGGGUGCUUCCAAGUGGGUGCCGUGUUGCUGUAAAGAAGUUGCAGCUUCAUCAUUGCUUGGAUGAUGAAAAUGAAGAUGCAUUUUUAAUAGAAUAUAACAAAAUGAAGGAUACAUUUCAAAAUGAAGUUUCUGCUGCAAUGAAGCCUUCUCACAAGAACACAGUGCGACUCAUAGGCUACUGCCAUCACACACAAGAGCAAAUUGUCGAAUACGAAGGAAAACAAGUUUUCGCAGGGGUCCUAGAAAGAUUGAUCUGUACGGAGUAUGUGCCUGACGGAACCCUUUGUGGACAUAUCGAAGGUAUGAUUUCUACGGAAAUGGAUGGGUACGAGUUCCAAAGGGCAGAGCUAGAUGCACUGGAACGCGUCGUACGCGAUACAAGUGCGGAGCCAAUGAGUCUGACGUUGCCGCUUCUCAGGCACAUAACAAAUGAUUUCUCCGAUGAAUCUGAAAUUGGUAAAGGUGGAUUCGCAGUGGUUUACCUGGGGGUGCUUCCAAGUGGGUUACGUAUUGCUGUCAAGAAGCUUAGCGAAACUUAUUUGAAUGAUUGUGCAUUUCAAAAUGAAGUUUUUAUCACAAUGAAGGCCACUCACAAGAACACAGUGCGAUUCAUGGGCUACUGUAUUCAAUCACAAGGUGAACUCGUCGAACACAACGGACAACAUGUUUUCGCACAGCUCGCGGAAAGGUUGAUCUGUGUGGAAUAUGCGCCUAAAGGAACCCUUGAUGCACAUAUCGAUAUUUCAAGAAGAAGAAACUGA
RNAcentral lists this ribosomal RNA (930 nucleotides) under Triticum aestivum (bread wheat). Its description in RNAcentral is "partial small subunit ribosomal RNA". Lineage: Eukaryota; Viridiplantae; Streptophyta; Magnoliopsida; Poales; Poaceae. The record is from RNAcentral.